This is a long non-coding RNA of Caretta caretta (loggerhead turtle), 3005 nucleotides long. RefSeq lists it as uncharacterized. Lineage: Eukaryota; Metazoa; Chordata; Testudines; Cheloniidae. The record is from RefSeq and is a predicted model, not a curated record.
AGGGCGGCCCUGUGCUCACCUCUUGCCAGCAAGUGAAGUCCAGCAGGAGGGGAGGAAGCGGGCGCAGGGGGUUCGGUGCACACAACCUCCUCCCCGCAGAAUUCUGCCUCUAGUGGAUAGCACACUGGACUGCAACCCCAGGGACCUGUGUUCUAUUCCUGGCUCUGCCCCUGGCCUUCUUGGUGCUCUUGGACAAGUCACUUGACCUUGCUGUGCCUCAGUUUCCCCACAGGAAGGAAAAAAGGUUGAGGUCAGCUCUGCUGGGAUCAGAACUGAUGGUGUCAAGGAGCCCAGGUGUCUCAAACCUAAUGCUUAGACUGCUAAGCCAUCCUUGCUGGCUGUCACUUUGGGAGAGGAAGAAGCUACAGACCCAGUAUAAUAAUGGAAGCUCUAAUGGAUCAGUACAUGGUUCAAGCAGGAAAUUGAAACCAGUGGCUAUGUUUCUGAAGAUGGAAGAGCCCACUGCAUCUCCCCUUUGCUGUAUGAAAGUGGCCUCAUCCCCUUUGAGAUUUCCAGGGAUGGUGGGCUCACAUUUCCUCACUCUGCAACUUGGUUAUCAGGUUAUCAGUCUAUCUGUUGUUUGCAUGUCCUUUCACAUAGUCACCAUAUCAUAUGUUGGGGGGGGAGGGAUAGCUCAGUGGUUUGAGCAUUGGCCUGCUAAACCCAGGGUUGUGAGUUCAAUCCUUGAGGGGGCCAUUUAGGGAUCUGGAGCAAAAAUUGGGGAUUGGUCCUGCUUCAAGCAGGGGGUUGGACUAGAUGACCUCCUGAGGUCCCUUCCAACCCUAACCUUCUAUGAAUCUAUGAAUCUAUGAAAAGCUGCCUCGUCAGUGGAAAGGUUUUUUUUUAAUUAAUUUCCUCUAUCAAUCCGGUGACACUGUCUCCCAAGUUGGGGUGAAGUGUCUUCUAUCGUCCUGCAGCGCCCAUCCUUUACAGCUCUGGUUUUGAUUUCAUGGGAUGACAACACAUCAGUGGCAUUUUUACUUUGUUCUUCAUCACAGCACUUUUUCUAUAUCUUUGGGUUUUAUGCUGUCACCCAUCACUGCAGUGUCUGGGCUUCUUCCACGUAAAGAGCUAGAACUAACUCGAGUGUUGCCCCUAACUUGAGUCCAGUCCACACACAAAAUCCUUUCACCGGAGGGUAGGGGUGCUUUUCCACUCAAGAAGGCUGGCCUGCCAGGGGUGUAGGUUCCGUCAGCACAACUUGACAGCUGCUCCCCUGACUGCUCUGGAGUGUGGAUGCAGCUUAGCUUUGCUGGAGCGCUGCUAGUUCUCCUAUGCCUUCCCACAAUUCCCCCUGUGUGCCCAGAAAGGACAGACACGUUAUCCCCCAAGUCACUGGGAAAGAAUUCAUAGAGUGGUUCAGCUUAUUGCCGUACAAAGAACCCAGGGAUGUGUCCUCACAUGAGGGGCCCGACACGAGUGAGUGCCGCGUCAGUGUGGAGACGGCAGCUCCAGGGUUAUCGCUCAGUGGGGCCGUUCUCGCUUGAGCUUGGCUAGCUCGAGAGGAGCAACCCCUAUGCAAAUCUCUCGAGUCCCCUCUGCAGCAAAGGCAGACCAAAAAUCAGUAGCGAAGGCUCUAGUGGAAUGACUCCUCUCCCUUUUGGGGGUGUGAGCUCUGCUUGGGGCGGGGUGUUUUCCUUUGUUUCCAUCUGGGUUGUUUUAGGCUGAGUAGAUGUGGGUGUCAGUGGUGUGAGAGUCAUUUGUGCUAUGGUUAAAAGGCUUUCUUGAAGAGGAAGAUUUUGCAGUAUUUUCUAAAGAUGAUCAGAUUACUAUUUACUGUUUGUAUCACCAUAAAGCCUAGGGCAGAGGUCCCCAAAGUGUGGGGCGCGCUCCUGAACAUUCAGGGGUGUGUGGCAGGGCCUGAGCUAGCCCCCACAGCGGUGGGGAGGGAGCCUGGCAGCAGCUCCACACCUGGCCAUGCAACCACCCUCAGCCCCUGGCAGAGGCUCCAUUCUCAGCUAUGCUCCUGGCCCCAUAUGCAACCCUUACUCCUGUUUGUGGUUCCCCCCACCUUUCCCCCGGGAGCCACAGCGCCGCUGCCGGCUCUGGGGAGAGCAGAUAGGGGAAAGUGGGGGCACGACCCUGAAAAGUUUGGGGACCACUGACCUAGGAGCUUCAGUCAGAGACCAGGACCCCGUUGUGCUAGGUGCUGUACAAACAAACACAGAACACACAAACAGUCUCUGCUCCAAGGGGCUUACAGUCUGCUAGGAUCGUGUCAUCUCCUAUUCAGGUUUCAUCCAGAUCUCAUUGACUGAGAAGGCUUUGGCCCCUCCAUCAAUAACAUUAACACCCUGCUCGACCGCUCUAGAAUAAAGUGAUCCUUCAUUUUACAGAUUAGGAAACUGAGGCAAAGAUGUGGUCACUCAGGAAGGCUGAUAGUCCUGAGUUUUGUUUUCCAUGGCGUAAAUCAGGAGUAGCUCCAUUGACCUCAGUGGAGUUACACUGUUGUAAAACGGUUGUGGUAGGAAAGUCAAGGCCUGUUCUAUCGAUGGAGUUAGGAUCAGACUUCAGUGGAGUUAAUCCUGACUGACACUGGUGUGACUAUGCAGAAUUAGGCCCCAAGAAUUUAAGAUCUUCAGAUCUAGCCACCCCAGGUUAGAUUUGGUUACAGCUAGGUUCAGAGCUUUGCUCACUCCCUUCUCCCCCACUUUUCCAGUGCAGUGUAUUUCUCACUCUCUGCACCUCAGCGUGGUGGUGUUUUAUACUGCCACUGUGAACUACUCCACCAGCUACAAAGCAACGAUGAACCAGACCCUAGGUCUUGCCUUACAGUCCCCAGCCCUAAUGGCUAUAAAACAUACCCUUCAGCUGUGCUCUAUGAUACACGGUACAGCAAACCCAGGGAACAUCCUUACCUGGAUAGAGUUCAGCUCUGGCAGCUGCUGCAACAGAGAAGAAGCAUGUUUUCUGUCUGACGGCUAAGUUCCAAGUUACAACCGCUCCGAUGAUGUCUUGCUGUAUGGUUACGCAUGGUCUUCUCUUCACAAAUCAGGUGAACUGGU